Triticum aestivum (bread wheat) is the source of this 547-nucleotide long non-coding RNA. RefSeq lists it as uncharacterized. The transcript is spliced from 3 exons. The record is from RefSeq and is a predicted model, not a curated record. Lineage: Eukaryota; Viridiplantae; Streptophyta; Magnoliopsida; Poales; Poaceae.
GGAAAGCAAUCGCUAGAUUCACGGUUUCCUUUUCCUUCGGAUCGUUCGGUCGUUCUUCCGCUGGCCGCUGUUCGUCUAAUCGCCGUCUUCAACUCCGCGUCUCUGCGGCCUCUCACGAACGAGACGACGAUGGCCGCCGACUGCAGCAGGCAGCAGCAAGGUAAUUAUUCCUUUCAGUUUCAAAAAGUUGAAAUUAUUGAAGAACUACCUGAGAUCUACAAUGUCGCAAGAGACGUUAAAUGGCCUGGCAACUUGAUGCAUUGAGAAAAAAUUGCUUGAAGAAAUUGAUAUUGAUACAAUCAUUACCGAUUUUGCAUCUCAAAAUGUUGGAAGAAAAUUUUGAAGGGCGGACGGACGGCGUGAACUCUGAUUCGAUCCGGUUGUUCUUGAGGGAAGGUUGGCUAGAGAUAUCCUGGAAAAGUGCCAGCCCCUUUCGGUUCAUAAUGAGACGGGACUAAUUCUAUUUUUUUAUUCUAUAGAUUAUUUCGCUUAGUACUAUGUAUGAGAUGAAAACCUCAUGUAAUGGAACGGAGAUUUUUUGAAUAGA